GCCCCAUCCCUAAACUAUUUAUAUCAUGUUAGGUUUGUGUCCUGUUUAGAUCUGUACACACUACACAUAAAAAUGAGACGACUUUUUGGUGGGCUGUAAAAAGAUCGACAAUACAGGAAGAUAAAUUUGGCUGAAGUUUGAUGUUUUGAAAGAUGUUAGUUUGGAUGAAUGCUAAUCAGAGAAGGAUGGGUACCUGGAAAAGAUUGAAGAAUGAAGAUUGUCUUAUGUUUUUUUGAGAUGUUUAUAUUUAGUUUUUAUUUUUGUAUUUCUAUUUUGUUUGUUGUGGAUAGUUUUAGUUGUGUUUUUACUUAGGUCAUGUGUGGCUUCAUGUACGUUUGAUAUGGAAAGUUUUUGUUAUGUUU
Molecule: long non-coding RNA, 362 nt
Organism: Helianthus annuus (common sunflower)
Lineage: Eukaryota; Viridiplantae; Streptophyta; Magnoliopsida; Asterales; Asteraceae
Exons: 2
Source: RefSeq, a predicted model, not a curated record